RNAcentral lists this ribosomal RNA (161 nucleotides) under uncultured Vibrio sp. RNAcentral describes it as "partial 16S ribosomal RNA". It matches the Rfam family "Bacterial small subunit ribosomal RNA", at positions 373 to 526 of the family's 1533-position model. Lineage: Bacteria; Pseudomonadati; Pseudomonadota; Gammaproteobacteria; Vibrionales; Vibrionaceae. The record is from RNAcentral.
GGGCGCAAGCCUGAUGCAGCCAUGCCGCGUGUAUGAAGAAGGCCUUCGGGUUGUAAAGCACUUUCAGCAGUGAGGAAAGUGGCGUCGUUAAUAGCUGCCUUAUUUGACGUUAGCUGCACAAGAAGCACCGGCUAACUCCGUGCCAGCAGCCGCGGUAAUAA